This 433-nucleotide ribosomal RNA is filed under the name uncultured bacterium. RNAcentral's name for it is "partial 16S ribosomal RNA". It matches the Rfam family "Bacterial small subunit ribosomal RNA", at positions 29 to 507 of the family's 1533-position model. The record is from RNAcentral.
AACGAACGCUGGCGGCAUGCCUAGCACAUGCAAGUCGAACGAGACCUUCGGGUCUAGUGGCGCACGGGUGCGUAACGCGUGGGAACCUGCCCUUAGGUUCGGAAUAACUCCCCGAAAGGGGUGCUAAUACCGGAUAAUGUCUUCGGACCAAAGAUUUAUCGCCUUUGGAUGGGCACGCGUUGGAUUAGCUAGUUGGUAGGGUAAAAGCCUACCAAGGCGACGAUCCAUAGCUGGUCUGAGAGGAUGAUCAGCCACACUGGGACUGAGACACGGCCCAGACUCCUACGGGAGGCAGCAGUGGGGAAUAUUGAACAAUGGGCGAAAGCCUGAUCUAGCAAGGCCGCGUGAGUGAUGAAGGCCUGAGGGUUGUAAAGCUCUGUUACCCGGGAUGAUAAUGACAGUACCGGGAGAAUAAGCUACGGCUAACUCCGUG